RNAcentral lists this ribosomal RNA (1100 nucleotides) under Calcarisporium cordycipiticola. RNAcentral's name for it is "eukaryotic LSU rRNA". It matches the Rfam family "Eukaryotic large subunit ribosomal RNA", at positions 51 to 1112 of the family's 3401-position model. The record is from RNAcentral. Lineage: Eukaryota; Fungi; Ascomycota; Sordariomycetes; Hypocreales; Calcarisporiaceae.
CGGAGGAAAAGAAACCAACAGGGAUUGCCCCAGUAACGGCGAGUGAAGCGGCAACAGCUCAAAUUUGAAAUCUGGCCCUCUGGGUCCGAAUUGUAAUUUGCAGAGGAUGCUUUUGGCGCGGUGCCUUCCGAGUUCCCUGGAACGGGACGCCAUAGAGGGUGAGAGCCCCGUCUGGUCGGAUACCAAGCCUCUGUAAAGCUCCUUCGACGAGUCGAGUAGUUUGGGAAUGCUGCUCAAAAUGGGAGGUAUAUGUCUUCUAAAGCUAAAUAUUGGCCAGAGACCGAUAGCGCACAAGUAGAGUGAUCGAAAGAUGAAAAGCACUUUGAAAAGAGGGUUAAAAAGUACGUGAAAUUGUUGAAAGGGAAGCACUUAUGACCAGACUUGGGCCCGGUGAAUCAUCCAGCGUUCUCGCUGGUGCACUUUGCCGGCCCAGGCCAGCAUCAGUUCGUCGCGGGGGAAAAAGGCUUCGGGAACGUGGCUCCCUCGGGAGUGUUAUAGACCGUUGCAUAAUACCCUGUGAUGGACUGAGGUUCGCGCUCCGCAAGGAUGCUGGCGUAAUGGUCAUCAGUGACCCGUCUUGAAACACGGACCAAGGAGUCGUCUUCGUAUGCGAGUGUUCGGGUGUCAAACCCCUACGCGUAAUGAAAGUGAACGUAGGUGAGAGCUUCGGCGCAUCACCGACCGAUCCUGAUGUUCUCGGAUGGAUUUGAGUAAGAGCAUACGGGGCCGGACCCGAAAGAAGGUGAACUAUGCCUGUAUAGGGUGAAGCCAGAGGAAACUCUGGUGGAGGCUCGCAGCGGUUCUGACGUGCAAAUCGAUCGUCAAAUAUGGGCAUGGGGGCGAAAGACUAAUCGAACCUUCUAGUAGCUGGUUUCCGCGAGCCCUCUUUCAUGACAGGGGAAAAAAAAAACCGGGGGAAAACAGGUUUAAAAAAGGUUUUAAUCACCUUUUUCCUGUGGCCAUUUUUUAACGUUAAAUGGCGCCAAACCCCCCGAGUUUCCCCAGGUUUCCUUUGGCUCCCCAAUUACCGUUCUAUUUGACUUUCUCUCGAGUCCGUCCCUAAGCCCUUCCACAAAUCCUUGGAAGACAUGAGAAUGGGA